This 622-nucleotide unclassified non-coding RNA is filed under the name Athalia rosae (coleseed sawfly). RNAcentral's name for it is "misc RNA ENSAEAG00005010029.1". Lineage: Eukaryota; Metazoa; Arthropoda; Insecta; Hymenoptera; Athaliidae. The record is from RNAcentral.
AAUGAACUUGUGCUGCAAAAAAAUAUUUAUCUCUGUUGUAUUCACACUUCCAAAGAUUCUGGACAUCGUUUUUUUUUUUUUAGUUUCGUCAAGGAAACGUCAGUUCGCGUGGCGCGGUCGGAUCAAAUGGAUGGAGCAUCACGUGAAUAAGUUUUAAUGAUAACGGCACUUGUUACGCAACGAUUCGGAUUGACCAUUAAUUUUAACUUCCGUGAUCCGAGUGACGAAUGGUUCUGAAUGGUCUUAAUAUUCAUCAGUUCAGACGAAAUAUGGUUUGCAGCUACGGAGAUGCACGGAUUGUGAGGUGGGAUGAAGGAAAAUAGAGGUGCGGAUGGAAGGAAGUCAAAACUGAGGCACAAAAAAGAGAGGAGAUGACAAAGAACGUGGUGAGGGUGAAAGAGGAAGAAGCAAAAGGAUGCGCUGAAGCUGCACGAAGGCGUGACGCAAACCAGAAACCAGAAGUCGACGUCCCCUUGGGUUACAGUUAUGUCAUCCAAUCUCGGUAGAAGAUACUUCUCCGCGUAUCGCGCUAGCCGGUGAUGUCAUUCUGAGAUUUAGACCCUCUGAAGAUAACUUUAUUAUUGUAGUACAGAACUGUUAGUUGAAUAUAUAUGGAUUUAUG